This 577-nucleotide long non-coding RNA is filed under the name Physcomitrium patens. Its description in RNAcentral is "long non-coding RNA (PPAT_LNC006484)". Lineage: Eukaryota; Viridiplantae; Streptophyta; Bryopsida; Funariales; Funariaceae. The record is from RNAcentral.
CUCGCCGGUAAAGAGUCCUGUGAAGGAGUCUUGUCUUGUUCUUCAAUGGUAACAAUCUCUUCCUGGCAUUUCUCCACAUCUCCACCAUCAUCCUCGUCAUCGAAAUCAGGAUGAUUGUAUGCAUUUCGUAAAAAUAUUGUUAAGUCCAAAUUUGGUUCUUCUUGCUUCUCUAUCAUGUCCUUCUCCAUAGCGUUCUGUUGAUAGAGUAAGUGUUUUAGUAGGCAAUAAAAAGGUAAAUCAACAGAAAUUGAGACCUCAUUCUAAAACACAAAAGAAAGCAAUCAUACGGACGGAUGGACGGGCGACGUAUAUUAGAAGCAUCGAAGAAAAAGCAUAUGAACAGCUUUUCCAUGUCAUGAAAUUAUAGGUUGCGUAAAAGUGAGAAAAGAAGAGGAAUCAGGCCCAAAACUCAACAGACAAAUUGGAGAGACAACUUGACAAGGAUGGGUAAGCUCCUGACUACCCAACUCAUAACCAAGUUUCGUACAAAGAUUUCUCGACAAAAUUAUUAUAGCACCAGCUAACCAAUUUCAGGAACAAAAAUUAGAGAAUGUAUGCUACAGGUUUAUGAAUUACC